AUCCAGCUGACGAGUCCCAAAUAAGUCGAAUCGCACGUCAAAACUGGAU
RNAcentral lists this non-coding RNA (49 nucleotides) under Schistosoma margrebowiei. The record is from RNAcentral. Lineage: Eukaryota; Metazoa; Platyhelminthes; Trematoda; Strigeidida; Schistosomatidae.